This 623-nucleotide long non-coding RNA is filed under the name Homo sapiens (human). Its description in RNAcentral is "long non-coding RNA NONHSAT179799.1". The record is from RNAcentral. Lineage: Eukaryota; Metazoa; Chordata; Mammalia; Primates; Hominidae.
GGUCUCUGGACACUAUGGGCACACGACUCCUCCCAGCUCUGUUUCUUGUCCUCCUGGUAUUGGGAUUUGGUCCAGGGGACCCAACAGCCCCAGCAAGAUGAGAUGCCUAGCCCGACCUUCCUCACCCAGGUGAAGGAAUCUCUCUCCAGUUACUGGGAGUCAGCAAAGACAGCCGCCCAGAACCUGUACGAGAAGACAUACCUGCCCGCUGUAGAUGAGAAACUCAGGGACUUGUACAGCAAAAGCACAGCAGCCAUGAGCACUUACACAGGCAUUUUUACUGACCAAGUUCUUUCUGUGCUGAAGGGAGAGGAGUAACAGCCAGACCCCCCAUCAGUGGACAAGGGGAGAGUCCCCUACUCCCCUGAUCCCCCAGGUUCAGACUGAGCUCCCCCUUCCCAGUAGCUCUUGCAUCCUCCUCCCAACUCUAGCCUGAAUUCUUUUCAAUAAAAAAUACAAUUCAAGUUGCUUCUCAUGGAUGGCACUGCUUUUCUGAGGACUCAAGGGCCAAGAUGGAGGGGCUGACUCAGUCCAGCCAACAUUUAAUGAGCACCUACUUUAUGUAUGGAGCUCUAACCCAUGGGUCCAUGGGAAUAAAGCAGUGAAUAGUAACAAUAAAUAAU